RNAcentral lists this ribosomal RNA (391 nucleotides) under uncultured soil bacterium. RNAcentral's name for it is "bacterial SSU rRNA". It matches the Rfam family "Bacterial small subunit ribosomal RNA", at positions 26 to 409 of the family's 1533-position model. The record is from RNAcentral.
AGAGUGAACGCUGGCGGUAGGCCUAACACAUGCAAGUCGAACGGCAGCACGGUAAGAGCUUGCUCUUAUGGGUGGCGAGUGGCGGACGGGUGAGGAAUACAUCGGAAUCUACCUUUUGGUGGGGGAUAACGUAGGGAAACUUACGCUAAUACCGCAUACGCCCUUCGGGGGAAAGCCGGGGACCAGCAAUGGCCUGGCGCUGAUAGAUGAGCCGAUGUCGGAUUAGCUAGUUGGUGAGGUAAUGGCUCACCAAGGCGACGAUCCGUAGCUGGUCUGAGAGGAUGAUCAGCCACACUGGAACUGAGACACGGUCCAGACUCCUACGGGAGCAGCAGUGGGAAUAGUUGGACAGUGGGCGCAAGCCUGACUCCAGCCAUACCGCGUGGUAGAA